UCCAGACUCCUACGGGAGGCAGCAGUAGGGAAUCUUUCACAAUGGGCGAAAGCCUGAUGGAGCAACGCCGCGUGCAGGAUGAAGGCCUUCGGGUUGUAAACUGCUUUUAUAAGCGAGAAAUAUGAUGGUAACUUAUGAAUAAGGAUCGGCUAACUACGUGCCAGCAGCCGCGGUAAUACGUAGGGGGCAAGCGUUAUCCGGAUUUACUGGGUGUAAAGGGAGCGCAGACGGCAGUGCAAGUCUGGAGUGAAAGCCCGGGGCCCAACCCCGGAACUGCUCUGGAAACUGUGCGGCUAGAGUACUGGAGGGGCAGGCGGAAUUCCUAGUGUAGCGGUGAAAUGCGUAGAUAUUAGGAGGAACACCAGUGGCGAAGGCGGCCUGCUGGACAGUAACUGACGUUGAGGCUCGAAAGCGUGGGGAGCAAACAGGAUUAGAUACCCCUGUAUA
This 447-nucleotide ribosomal RNA is filed under the name uncultured bacterium. RNAcentral's name for it is "bacterial SSU rRNA". It matches the Rfam family "Bacterial small subunit ribosomal RNA", at positions 330 to 794 of the family's 1533-position model. The record is from RNAcentral.